Scatophagus argus is the source of this 794-nucleotide long non-coding RNA. RefSeq lists it as uncharacterized. The record is from RefSeq and is a predicted model, not a curated record. NCBI's taxonomy places the organism in Eukaryota, Metazoa, Chordata, Actinopteri, Scatophagidae. The transcript has 5 exons.
GAGUACAUUAAAAACAAUGCAAAGUGUGCAGAGUGCUGAUUUGAAAUUUUAUUUUCGAUCUUUAAUUGUACUUCCUUUUUACACAGGAAGUAGAAAGUCAUUUGGUGGAUGGCGUUUGGACUGCAUCGUGAGUUCUCUCUCUUUAUCAGUGCUCUAUUGGAAUGAGAUCUAGGGACUGUGAAGGCAAAAGAAGUGGCACCUUCUGCUGCUGUCGCCCAUCCGCUUCAAGAAAUACCUCAUAGGAUGGAAAACGUCAUGAUCAGAGUGUCACAGGCACCAGACUUUCCUGUUGCACCUCCGUAUGAUGAAGGUCCUCUUCCGUACUCGAUGGUCCAACCUCGAGGUCAAGACAGUGCAAACGGGUCAGCGCCAGUUUUUGUUUUCAAAACCACAUGCUGCCCUAAAAAGUGGACCCAAAGUAACUGUCUGGCCUUGGCAUUUAUCUUUGUCUGUCUCUUACUCCUGGUGUUGUUCGGGUUUGUUCUUUACUCAGCUUACGUUAAGAGGUAAUUUUGUUCAAAAUGAAAACUGUUAAAAAAGAUCACCAUAUCAUGGUGCAAAAAAGCCUGACAUUGCCCUACGAACCCCAAAAGAGAGUUUGUAUAAAAGGUUAAUUUGUAUAAUUUGUAUAAUAAUAAAAACUGUGAAAAAUGUUCAUUGUAUGGCCAUACAGAGAUGGUGGGUCAUAUGGGAUGUUAGGUGUUAAUGCAUGAAAAAAGUUCACCCUAUCUGCUGUUUUUCAGUCUGCUGUUGUUCAGUGUUGUUGGGUUUAAUAAAUUUAUGCAUAGUAUUAA